Molecule: small RNA, 189 nt
Filed under: Marmota monax (woodchuck)
Lineage: Eukaryota; Metazoa; Chordata; Mammalia; Rodentia; Sciuridae
Source: RNAcentral
UGGAAGGUAGUAAUGGUCAUACAUAGAUGUGAAUGUACUUGAUGGUUAAAAAAAAUGGUAAAAUUUAGUUUAUGUAUACAUUUUUACCUUUGUGUGUGUGUGUGUGUGUGUGUGUGUGAUGGGAAUUGAACCCUGGGCCUUACACAUGCUAAGCACACGCACUACCACCAAGCUACACUAUACCUCCAA